CUGUUUCCUGACUCUCAGGAGUUACUACUUUUCAUUGUCUGGCUUCCAGCAUCUUGAGAACCAUCAUUUCCUAUAUUUCGUUUGGUAUUUUAGUUGUUUUAGAUCCAGUCCCUAUUAUUUCAUCUCGGCUGGAAGCAGAAACCCUCAUGAUGGUCUGUCAGUUUGUUCAGCUGCCAUUUGUUGAGGGAAUGCUUGCCAUGUGCCCACCUCUCACUGUUCUCGUGGCUCUCCAAACACUCCCAAUUUUCCUAGCUCAGGGCCUUCCUUGCAUGAGCCCUUUCCUCUGUCUGGAAUGUUCUUUCCAGCUGUACUUCCCUCUCUCAGUUCAAAGAGGCCUCGUCUGACAACCCUGUGUAAAGCGAAUCACUCUCUCUUUCAUUUCCUAUCAAACUUCUGCUUUCCUCUAUAGCUUCUUUUACUAGAGUAGAAGCAGGGAUUCCUGUUUGAUUCCCUGGAGCCAGCUCAGGGCCAGGCACACUCUAGGUGUUCAAUAAAUUUUUACGGUUUUGAGUGAGGUCUUUGCAUAUUUCAAGGUGACUGUCAUAUAACAGAGCUCAAUCAAAUUGAGGGUGCUUGGCUAAUGGGAACACAGCUCCCUGCCCUCAGGUCCCCAGCAGCAAAGGGAUACAGGGCCCCUGCACUGAGGCCACGCUCUCCUUAGUGAUAACCGAAGGCUCCCUUGUCCUGGCUAGCAGAGGGUGACAGGUGGGGCUGACGAGUUCCAGACCCAAGCCUCUGGGGCCCGGCACAGACCGACGGAACCGGACGCUUGGCAGGAGGAGCCAGAGCCAAGCUUCCAUGACGUGGCCUGCAAGGGCCGGGCUCCUCCCUGGGCCCUUGGUGGGGCUUCAGGUCUCUCCCAGCCCUCUCAGAGCUGCCUGCCACCAGGUUCUGGGGAAAGACGCAGUCAUGGCCCCUGGUUUGUGUCAGAUCUAUUGUGUGAUCACUGAUAACUGUGACACUAACAGAAUUUAGAGUUUGGCUCUAUAAACUGAAAAGUACUUUGUAAACAGAAAACAAGUGCUCACUGAACUGGAAAGGCCUUAGGAAGCUUCUCUUCUCAACCCCUACUUUUGACAGAGGAAGAGACUGAGGUUUAACUGAAAUAACAUAUGUAGACUGCUUAGUACCAGGCUUGGGACUUGGUGUUUUUGUUCCAGCCACUAACCACCUGCCUACCUGAGCAAGCUGUGCCUCGGGUCCUCCCAGCUUUCAGACAGACACCCUUCCCGCCGAGCUGCAGACCUUGAUCCAUCUGUCUUUAAUAAGGAUCAUAGCUAUCUUUUUAAAAGCAUUUAUGAAGUGCCAGGCCAUGAGCUAAGCACUUUGUACGCACUAUUUAAUUCUCUUGUCAUAGGAUGAGAUAGGUUAUUAUUGUUCCCAUUUUACUGAUGGGAAAACUGAGGCUCAGAGCCAUUAGGUUACCCCCAGGGUCCUGCAACUUGUAAGUGGCCGAGAGUGUUCAAACCCCUAAGGGGGAAGUCUCCAAACCUCUAAGAUAUGGCUUCUCUGCCCUUAGCUGUCUGUUCUGAUAACUUAUAUUUCCUGCCAGCUCUUCCUUCCUAGGCCUUUGGAGAAGAUUUCUGAGUCCAUUUGGUUAGUCACCGGAACAGGGCAAGACAGGGUGUAAGACCUCUCCAGCUGAGAGUCUGCCCUGAGGAUGUUUCUGAGGGUCAGAGAUAAUCCAUGUCAAAAACACAGCCCCGGGGAAGGAAGGGGAGUGGGCAGCAGCCCACAGACCCAGUCAUGCGCUCAGUCAGUGUCCUGCCAGCCGCUUCCCUAGGAGCCCCACAGUGGCAGGAGCUGCUGAUGAAGCAGGCAAGCGGAGUCCAGCGCUGGGGGCGCUCCACAUGGGGAGGUCACCUCUGAUGCGGUCGCUGCAGCAGCCUGCCCUCUACGGAGGUGGGGCUGGAACCAGCCUUGGAGGACCUCGCCAAUUUGAAUGAAGGCGAAUGGGUGUUGGAUAGGCAGCCUUUCCAACAGAGAAGCUGAGAAUGCUGGUCAGGCCAUCCAGCCUUUCCCAGACUCCUCCUGUGUGCCCCACUGUAUGUCCACAGCCCCGCCCUCCCAGAGAGGAGCUUAGUGCCACUUGGAAGAUGAGGAAACUGAGUCCAGGGUCCAAAACUGCAGGCAGGAUGUGCUAAAUGCCAGGUGAGCUGGGUCUCUGCUUACUGAAUCCAGUCCCGGCUGGGAAGAGAAGCGAGGGGACAGGCCUUGCCAGGAGGUUUCAAGACAAAAGAAGGAACCUGGAACCAAGGGGUGAUGCUCUUGGAAUCAUAAAGAAAUGGAAUCUUGAGUGUGGGUUUCUGGGACAAAGCUAGGAGCAAGGAGGUACCCCAUGCUUGCUGCUUUUCUCCAAGGCCCUGAACACGGAGGUGAGGCCUCAGA
This is a long non-coding RNA of Manis pentadactyla (Chinese pangolin), 2388 nucleotides long. RefSeq lists it as uncharacterized. The record is from RefSeq and is a predicted model, not a curated record. Lineage: Eukaryota; Metazoa; Chordata; Mammalia; Pholidota; Manidae. The transcript has 3 exons.